UACGUAGGGGGCUAGCGUUGUCCGGAAUCAUUGGGCGUAAAGCGCGCGUAGGCGGCCAGAUAAGUCCGGUGUGAAAGCCACAGGCUCAACCUGUGAAUGCCGCUGGAAACUGUCUGGCUAGAGUCCGGGGAGGGGCGAGUGGAAUUCCUGGUGUAGCGGUGAAAUGCGCAGAUAUCAGGAGGAACACCAAUGGCGAAGGCAGCUCGCUGGAACGGAACUGACGCUGAGGCGCGAAAGCGUGGGGAGCGAACAGG
This 254-nucleotide ribosomal RNA is filed under the name uncultured bacterium. RNAcentral describes it as "partial 16S ribosomal RNA". It matches the Rfam family "Bacterial small subunit ribosomal RNA", at positions 524 to 776 of the family's 1533-position model. The record is from RNAcentral.